GAGCACGUAGGUGGGUUUGUAAGUCAGAUGUGAAAGCCUUCUGUUCAACGGAAGAAUUGCAUCUGAAACUACAAACCUUGAGUAUAGGAGGGGAGAAUGGAACUUCUGGUGGAGCGGUGAAAUGCGUAGAUAUCAGAAGGAACGCCGGCGGCGAAAGCGAUUCUCUGGCCUAUUACUGACACUCAGUGUGCGAAAGCUAGGGGAGCAAACGGGAUUAGAUACCCCGGUAGUCCUAGCCGUAAACGAUGGGCACUAAGUAGAGGGAAUUACCGAUGUUCUCUCUGCCGUAGCUAACGCAUUAAGUGCCCCGCCUGGGGAGUACGGCCGCAAGGCUAAAACUCAAAAGAAUUGACGGGGGCUCGCACAAGCGGUGGAGCAUGUGGCUUAAUUCGAUGCAACGCGAAAAACCUUACCGGGGCUUGACAUGGUAGAAGUAGGAACCCGAAAGGGUAACGAACGGUAUCCAGUCCGUAGCUAUCACAGGUGUUGCAUGGCUGUCGUCAGCUCGUGUCGUGAGACGUUGGGUUAAGUCCCCUAACGAGCGAAACCCUUGUUUUUAGUUACCAGCGGGUUGUGCCGGGUACUCUAGAAAGACUGCCGUCGUCAAGACGGAGGAAGGUGGGGAUGACGUCAAGUCAUCAUGGCCCUUAUGCCCCGGGCUGCACACGUGCUACAAUGGUCGGUACAAACGGAAGCGAAGCCGAGAGGUGAAGCGAAUCC
RNAcentral lists this ribosomal RNA (720 nucleotides) under uncultured anaerobic ammonium-oxidizing bacterium. RNAcentral's name for it is "bacterial SSU rRNA". It matches the Rfam family "Bacterial small subunit ribosomal RNA", at positions 565 to 1274 of the family's 1533-position model. The record is from RNAcentral.